This 35-nucleotide small RNA is filed under the name Arabidopsis thaliana (thale cress). Its description in RNAcentral is "ATSL245100". Lineage: Eukaryota; Viridiplantae; Streptophyta; Magnoliopsida; Brassicales; Brassicaceae. The record is from RNAcentral.
AUAUAGAGAGAAGAGGAGCUACAAGAGAACUUAUU